Mauremys reevesii (Reeves's turtle) is the source of this 633-nucleotide long non-coding RNA. RefSeq lists it as uncharacterized. Lineage: Eukaryota; Metazoa; Chordata; Testudines; Geoemydidae. The record is from RefSeq and is a predicted model, not a curated record. The transcript is spliced from 3 exons.
ACACUUUCUGUGAGAUUGGUGUCAGAGCACCAAUGUUCAGAAAAAUUGACUAACACAGCUGCUACUCUGAAACCUGUUAAAUAUUCCUGAUUUAAGAUAUACAAGCAGCCUUGACAACAUCCUUUGAUCUCACUCCAUCAGAGGAGCUGACAAAGCAGAGGAAACAGUAAUGAAACUAUAAGGAUGUCUGUUGUCUGUUGAAGUUUUGGUCCUUCAGAACUCAUUCCAAGAUGAAUCCAAGCAGGCAUGUUUUUCUUUGUAGGACCUGAAGGAACAAAGCCUGAAUUUAAAUUCCUUUAAAUUAAACAGAAAAAGGUAUGAUUUGCAUGUACUUCAUUGCUCCAAAGUACUUCCUUUCAGGCUUCAGCUGAACACCCAGCUAUGGAGACUCUUUCAAGGGAGUGUUUACAGUUCUGAAAGAGUUGUGAAUGGCAGCACUCAGAGAACAUUUAAGAAAUGACUGAUGAGAUUUGAUGGUGCUCAGGAGAGAGAACCUCCAAGUAUUCAUAUGUAAAUCCCAGAUAUUUGCCAGAAUGUUGCUUUUAAGUACUGUCAUAUUUUCUUUCCAAGUGCAUAUGGAGUAAGUAGAUGGAGGUAAUGUUCCCCCUAGAGACCCAGAAACUGGUUUUAAUG